AAAGCACGACAAGGUUAAUCCGAGUGAUUUCUGCUAAAGGAAUCUUUUACCAGUUCUAAAAAUACUGGCGAAUAAGGGGUGGGCAAGUUCUGGUGUCAGCCGCCGCGGUAAAACCAGCACCUCAAGUGGUCAGGAGGAUUAUUGGGCCUAAAGCAUCCGUAGCCGGCUCUGUAAGUUUUCGGUUAAAUCUAUAUGCUUAACAUAUAGGCUGCCGAAAAUACUGCACAGCUAGGGAAUGGGAGAGGUAGACGGUACUCGGUAGGAAGGGGUAAAAUCCUUUGAUCUAUCGAUGACCACCUGUGGCGAAGGCGGUCUACCAGAACAUGUUCGACGGUGAGGGAUGAAAGCUGGGGGAGCAAACCGGAUUAGAUACCCGGGUAGUCCCAGCUGUAAACGAUGCAGACUCGAUAAUGCACUGGCACAUAGCCAGUGCAGUGUCGCAGGGAAGCCGUUAAGUCUGCCGCCUGGGAAGUACGUACGCAAGUAUGAAACUUAAAGGAAUUGGCGGGGGAGCACCACAAGGGGUGAAGCCUGCGGUUCAAUUGGAGUCAACGCCAGAAAUCUUACCCGGAGAGACAGCAGAAUGAAGGUCAGGCUGAAGACCUAC
Molecule: ribosomal RNA, 607 nt
Filed under: crenarchaeote SCGC AAA001-L13
Lineage: Archaea; Thermoproteati; Thermoproteota
Description: SSU rRNA
Rfam family: Archaeal small subunit ribosomal RNA
Source: RNAcentral